RNAcentral lists this long non-coding RNA (4624 nucleotides) under Nicotiana benthamiana. RNAcentral's name for it is "long non-coding RNA (NBEN_LNC028100)". Lineage: Eukaryota; Viridiplantae; Streptophyta; Magnoliopsida; Solanales; Solanaceae. The record is from RNAcentral.
UAGACCUAAGAUACACACAGCAAGAUACACGCUGAUACAAUUGAAGAAAAAUCAGUGCAGCUUUGGCGAGAAAGCGACCCCUGAAGAUCAUUCCUCAUCGAAGAACCCAUCGGCAGCCCUUCCCGUCGGUGUUACCCCCACCUCUGCAUCGUCUUCUCUAAAUGACCCCUGCUCUUUUUAUCGACCAUUAACAUAGACAGUAACAGAGACGACCCCCCUGAAGCUUCUUCCUCUUGACCCACCUUCUGAACCUCUUGAAAUCGCUUUAAGAAGCAAGCGUAGUAGAGAACAAAAGACCACCCUUCUAGCGCUAACUCCUCUUCGUUUAACAACUGAAAUCAGUGACCAUUUCCACCACAACUAGAUCUUGUUACACGAGAGAUCUGGCCAAUUUUGAGGUCUGGUCUUAAUUACACUGAGGUUACCGGUGAAGCUCUGGUCCUGCAGGUCGAGGAUGUCAUCUGGUCAGUGCUUUUAGGAAUUGUUGGAACUGUAAAAGUUCGAUCUUCUUUCAGAUUAUAUGUAAGUGCUUGAAUUUAUAAUUUGUUUGUUUUGGUAUUUAACUUGUUCUGAAUAGUUAUUUCAUUACUACUUAUUCUUCGAUUUUGUUUUGCUCUACUAUUUUGUUUGAAUACUUGGUUUGGUAUCAUUUCAUGUGAGAUUGCGCUUAAUUCCUCCACGAAGGUAUGAUAUUAUAAAAUGGUAUAUGCUUCAGUAGAUGAAGUUUGAGACACUGAGUAAAGACAAAAUUUGAAUGUCUCUGUUGUCUUAUUUGUGCCUGUGAUGAGCAGCAAUACUGGAAGGGACUCACAUAUUGGUAAAUCCCACAUAAUGAAUUCGAUUACGCUCCACUACUGUCAUGAAUAAUUCUCCAGAUGCUUGGAUCAUAUGCAGUUCAAACAUAUUGUUGUGAAAGCUGCUAAUGUGGUCUUUAUGAAUAUAUAUUGAGUAUUUGAGUUUUAUGUUUUAUUUAGUUAUCAUUUCUCGUUAUUUCCUUCUUUUCAGUUGGGAAUUUGCACAAAUUGAAUUGUGUCAUUUUUUGCCUCUUAGUUGUUUAGGAAAAACUUACUCUUGGCAUGUUACUUUGUAGCUAGCUAGUGUGACAGACCAUCAAUUUUUGGUGUUAUGGGUUACUUAGCAACGUAAAUAUUGUGUUUCCUUUUACUGCUCUAUUCCUUCAUCUUGGCCUUUGAUUUUCGUUGUGAUGUGAUUGUAAAUAUCAUUACGCAUUACUGUUAAAGCGAGAAUACGAAGAGAUGGGGUAUUUGUUUUUCAUGAAAUGUGCUUGUGUUUUUUUCAUUUGGAAUGAAAAUAUUAAUUGUACUAGAUUUUGACUAUUCUGUCUCUUAAGUGCAAGCGAUAUUUCUUCAAUUCACGCCUACCGCAUAUGGGUAGGCGAACCUUUAGGCACAUAAUUAGAUCAUCACAACAACAGGUAAUGUUCCCAUGGCGUGGUUAUGAUACUUGAUGUCAAAUUAGUUGUAAAAAUGAAUAUUCAUAGUUCACUUAGUUGAAGGCAUUUUCUUUAAUUAAUCGAGGUGCACCAUAUCAAACAAGACCAAUACCUAUGGCCCUCACUUUAUUUAAUCUUGAAUUGAUCCUUAGAUUCUGAGGUGUACUGUUUAGUAAAUUCCAUGGCGCUCGCACAGUUGCAAACGCAGAAUUGCAUUAGGCAUUAGCUUAAUAAUUCACCUUUCCUAAAUUUGGGUGCACAUUUAUGUGACCCAAAUUCAAAUCUCAAUGAAUUUGGAAUGUGUCAAUAACCACGGGUGCAUUUAUGUGAUGUAGUUCGAGACAUGUUUUAACGGCGUUGCAGUUCUCUUUAAAACUAAUAAUAAUAAAAGUGGUUAAAGAUUUAAAAAUGCACAUAGGUUCAUAAAUGUAUAAAAUCAGAUAAUUUAAGCCAAAUAUAACAGUUGAAUGACCGUGCUAGAACCAAGGAAUCCGGGAAUACCUAACACCUUCUCCCGGGUUAACAAAAUUCUUUACCCAGAUUUUUGGUUCGCGGACUAUUAAACAGAGUUAUUCUUUUCUCGAUUCGGGAUUUUAAACGGUGACUUGGGACACCAUAAAUCUCCCAAGUGGUGACUCUUAAAUUCUCUUAAAUAAUUGAAUCCCGUUUCGAUUGUCCUUUAAUUGAAAAAACUCCUUUAUCAAUGCCAUUCGCCGGGUUGUAGUAGCCAAAAGGAGGUGUGACAGCUCUGAUGACUCUGGUGGGUAUCGAACCCAGAAUCUUUGGUUCAGGGUUCGAGAAUUCGAGCUUCGAAUAAAUUUUGUAUUUGGCUUUGUCUAUUAAUUGUUUUGUUUUUACAUGUUGUCUUAAUGUGCAAAAUGUUGCCUUUUACCACUUUGAUAUUAUUUGAACUGUAUAUAAACUGCCGCAAAACCCCUCUCUUCUCACCUAUGGGGAUGUGCUCGCGGGUCGAGACCCUCUAUUCUGUUAGUGUCACACCUUGAAAUAAGAAAGAGGCUCGGACAAGCUACAAAGCCGGACGAUCUUGCGGGUCCCUUGUAUGUAGCCCCUUCCUCGACUCGAGUUGUCCGCUCGGGUACACAGUCUAGAACAAAUACCUAGGCCUUAAACAUAGAAUAACUUAGCCUCAUGCCGGAUCCCUAGUAGGAACGUUUGUUUGCAUCACGUGCAUUUGACAUAGGGGACUUAAUACAGGGGUUGGGUCCGUCUAGGAUAGGUGUACCAAAAUUGAAAGACCAUCCUAAUGCAUUUUAUAUGCCACAUGUUGCAUUUUUUCAAGGGUGAAAGGGUCAUUUGGCAGACCAAUGAUAGCUGAGGGUAAAUGAAAAAUAAUGAAAAAAGGAAAGAGAGGGUGAAGUGUGAAAAUAAAGCAAGUAGGAUCUAGUUAUGUUCUGUUACAUUUUUAUUUUAAAAAAAGACACAAAUAGAUAUAUGAAAAAGUCAAAAAAUAUUUUGCUCUUUUUCACCAUUUCCUGAAAAUAAAAAAAAAAAAAGAAAAAAAAUCCAAAAAGUGUUUACAUAUUUCAUCAUUUUUCAAAAAAAGAGACAAAAGAAGGUGUUUUCUUUAAAAAAAUUAGCUGUUUUUUUAUUAUUUCUUGUCUGUAUCCAAUUUGCCCGAACUAGGCAAACCUGAUUCUCGUCUUUCGGGGCGUGAUACGUAGGCAACCCACAUAGGGUCCGGUCUUCCUAGUAAAUCUUAGGUACUUGGCUUUUUGGGGUCAUAGUCAUAUUUUGUACUUCUAGCCACUUUUAGCUACAUAGGUUAGUUUUAGAAUUCAAAAGUUGUUUGUUGUAAAUUGUGUGAAUUGAGUUGUGUCAAUGGACUCUACUAUUGAAAUUCUUAGAGUUCAAGAUGGAAUUCUCUUGUCAAACUUCUUUUAUGCUGACGAAAGUUCUAUUGAGAUCAGUAUUUAUUUGUUGGAGCAUUGUUUUAUGAUAUUAAUUCGAUCUAUGAAUUGUUCGUGGGCCAAUGUUUGAAAGAAAAUCUUGCAUUAAACACCAAUUAUCUUUGUGCUAAGACUGUGGAGUUCUGAAGCUUGUUUUGUUGAAGUUUACCACUAUUUGUAAAGUUUUUGGAGUAAAUUGAUAGCUGAAAUUCUCCUAAUUUGAACUUGUUACCACUGGUUUCUAAUAGUUGUUAUUAAUGAGUUUAAAUGAAACUCUCCUAGUUUGAACUUGUUACCACUGGUUUCUAAUAGUUAUUGUUGUUGUCGAGUUUAAUAGAGGGGAUUCAGUGGGACUAGAGAUUGAGCAUGCUUGAAUUGUGAUUUGGUUGAACAUAUAGUAAGCUAUAUCUGUUGGAAAUUUAUGUUAGUUGAGAUUGUGCUUGAGUUCAUCAGUGAUAGUGGAAAGCUGGUUUUUACUUGGAGUGAUGUUAUCUUUUAGUUGAUUUAUUCUUUUACAUUGCAACACAUCUUGAGUUAGUUGUUCUGGCAUUCAAGUUCUCAAAGUGGAUGCAAAAUGGGCUCUUACACAAGUAUUAUUAUACGUGUUUUUUUAGCAUGUUUUAGUUGUAAACCUUGAUCUCUACAAGGUUGAUCUUUUCCUAAGAAGCUGAAAAUUGAGAAGAACUGGAUAUUGGUGAAAAUCUAUAUAUAUACUUUGCUAAGUUUUACAUUUAUCAACAGCAUACUUGGCAUCCAAGUACGCAUUGCUUCAGCUUAGCUGUGGUUUAUAUGCCAACAACACACUAUUGAAAUUCAAGUUUUGAGCUGUUUUUUUAAAGCAGAUCCUACACCAUUCAGCUGUACUUUGUGGUUAUUCUGACUCAAUAUUGUUGUGAUUCUAGUGCUUUGUUUCUACAAUUGAAGUCGUCAUUCUAAGCUGAAAAUUUCUGUGCCUAUUGCUGCUGAAUUUAAUGCUCCAAGGUGUUGCUGAAGUUCUGAGUUUUGAGAAGCAAUUGAAUAGCGAACCUGCCAGCUUGUUUGAAUCUUGGAAUUUUGCAUUUAAAUGAAAUAUGUUUAUGUAAUACAAGUUCCCUAAGCAUUAUUUGUAUUUUCUACAACAUUUUGUGAACCUGAAUGGGUUUUGACAUUAGAGCUUGUUUGAAGAAUUUUGGACUCAAAUAAGAGUGUUUUGGACUGCUAUUAAAAGUUGUUGAGACAACCUUGAAAAUUUACACUUUUGCACCAGUUGUCUAGUGAGUGCAAG